Molecule: non-coding RNA, 24 nt
Filed under: Arabidopsis thaliana (thale cress)
Lineage: Eukaryota; Viridiplantae; Streptophyta; Magnoliopsida; Brassicales; Brassicaceae
Source: RNAcentral
AGAAGCUUGUGUUAGCUUUGAUGA